UGCAGUUUCUUAACUUAGUACACCUGCGGUCUUAGAUAAUGUAAGCAAUGCUUUCUAUACUAGUGGCAACUCUUACUUUUCUGGCUAGUGUACUUGCUGUAAUCUAGUCUUUCCAUGAAUUUGAAGAUCAUUUAUGCCCGUGCCUCUACUUCUGAGCAUCAGUACAACUUGCUUCUUGGUUUGGCUGCCAAAAUGUGUGAAGAACCAUUCAAAUAACUGAUUGUGGAUUCAGUGAUUGCUCUCUUCCAAGUCGAUUUUACUGCAAGAGAACUUGCAGAGCCCCAGUCGUAGCUGAUCCAGGCGGAGGUGUGUUAUCAGACCCAAUGAAACCUGCAGGCAGGCAUGUUCUGGCUCAUGCAGCCACAACUAGGUUAAUGUUUGGGAAAGUCAGAAGGAAUCAGUGUGUCUGCAAGGUGUUUGAUGCCCCAAACCUACCCGAAGCUGAACCUAAGUCAAUACUGAGGCUAAAUAUAGAUAGGUGGAGACCUUAUUUAAGCAUGGUGCUUACAGUAUACUUGAUGUUGUAUGGAGAUCCAUGAACACGUUGAAUACGAAUUUUGUGCAGAGUUAUUAAACAAAAAGAAGUGGAUAUGGAGAAUUUUUUUAAA
Molecule: long non-coding RNA, 608 nt
Organism: Eucalyptus grandis
Lineage: Eukaryota; Viridiplantae; Streptophyta; Magnoliopsida; Myrtales; Myrtaceae
Exons: 3
Source: RefSeq, a predicted model, not a curated record